This 253-nucleotide ribosomal RNA is filed under the name uncultured bacterium. RNAcentral's name for it is "partial 16S ribosomal RNA". It matches the Rfam family "Bacterial small subunit ribosomal RNA", at positions 524 to 776 of the family's 1533-position model. The record is from RNAcentral.
GACGAAGGGGGCUAGCGUUGUUCGGAAUCAUUGGGCGUAAAGCGCGUGUAGGCGGCCCGGUAAGUCCGCUGUAAAAGUCGGGGGCUCAACCCUCGAAAGCCGGUGGAUACUGUCGGGCUAGAGUACGGAAGAGGCGAGUGGAAUUCCUGGUGUAGCGGUGAAAUGCGUAGAUAUCUGGAGGAAUACCGGUGGCGAAGGCGGCAUCCUGGACCGGCAUUGACGCUGAGGAGCGAAAGCCAGGGGAGCAAACGGG